Priapulus caudatus is the source of this 132-nucleotide long non-coding RNA. RefSeq lists it as uncharacterized. The transcript is spliced from 4 exons. NCBI's taxonomy places the organism in Eukaryota, Metazoa, Priapulida, Priapulimorpha, Priapulimorphida, Priapulidae. The record is from RefSeq and is a predicted model, not a curated record.
UCUGGUUCCUCAGUUUUUGUUGUUGUCUCGGUCUAACCAUAGUAAUGUUCUGGUUCCUCAGGUUUUGUUGUUGUCUCGCCGUAACAAUAGUAAUGUUCUGGUUCCUCAAUUGUUGUUGUUCUCCGCCAGUAA